AACGAACGCUGGCGGCAGGCUUAACACAUGCAAGUCGAGCGCUAUAGAUUUCGGACUGUAGAGCGGCGAACUGGUGAGUAAUGCGUAGGAACCUAUCCUUAUCUACGGGAUAACCUAGGGAAACUUAGGCUAAUACGGUAUACACCCUGAGGGGGAAAGGGAAUUUUUCUGGAUAUGGAGGGGCCUACGUUAGAUUAGCUAGUUGGUAGGGUAAAGGCCUACCAAGGCGAUGAUCUAUAGCUGGUCUGAGAGGACGAUCAGCCACACUGGGACUGAGACACGGCCCAAACUCCUACGGGAGGCAGCAGUGGGGAAUAUUGGACAAUGGGCGCAAGCCUGAUCCAGCCAUGCCGCGUGAGUGAUGAAGGCCUUAGGGUUGUAAAGCUCUUUCACCCAUGAAGAUAAUGACUGUAGUGGGAGAAGAAGCCCCGGCUAACUUCGUGCCAGCCGCCGCAGUAA
This 459-nucleotide ribosomal RNA is filed under the name uncultured bacterium. RNAcentral's name for it is "partial 16S ribosomal RNA". It matches the Rfam family "Bacterial small subunit ribosomal RNA", at positions 29 to 523 of the family's 1533-position model. The record is from RNAcentral.